GACGUAGGGCGCAAGCGUUGUCCGGAUUUACUGGGCGUAAAGAGCGCGUAGGCGGUCUGUUAAGUGUAGAGUGAAAUCUCCAGGGCUCAACCCGGAAACUGCUCUGCAUACUGGCAGACUUGAGGGACUGAGAGGUGAAUGGAAUUCCUGGUGUAGCGGUGAAAUGCGUAGAUAUCAGGAGGAACACCGGUGGCGAAGGCGGUUCUCUGGGCAUGUCCUGACGCUGAGGAGCGAAAGUGUGGGGAGCGAACAGG
RNAcentral lists this ribosomal RNA (254 nucleotides) under uncultured bacterium. RNAcentral's name for it is "partial 16S ribosomal RNA". It matches the Rfam family "Bacterial small subunit ribosomal RNA", at positions 524 to 776 of the family's 1533-position model. The record is from RNAcentral.